CGGGUUGUAAAGUACUUUCAGUCGUGAGGAAGGCGGCGUCGUUAAUAGCGGCGUUGUUUGACGUUAGCGACAGAAGAAAGCACCGGCUAACUCCGUGCCAGCAGCCGCGGUAAUACGGAGGGUGCGAGCGUUAAUCGGAAUUACUGGGCGUAAAGCGCAUGCAGGUGGUUUGUUAAGUCAGAUGUGAAAGACCCGGGGCGUCAACCUCGGAAUUGCAUUUGUAAACUAGGCAGACUAGAGUACUGUAGAGGGGGGUAGGAAUUUCAGGUGUAGCGGUGAAAUAGCGUAGAGAUCUGAAGGAAUACCGGUGGCGAAGGCGGCCCCCUCGGACAGAUACUGACACUCAGAUGCGAAAGCGUGGGGAGCAAACAGGAUUAGAUACCCUGGUAG
This 390-nucleotide ribosomal RNA is filed under the name uncultured bacterium. Its description in RNAcentral is "bacterial SSU rRNA". It matches the Rfam family "Bacterial small subunit ribosomal RNA", at positions 419 to 793 of the family's 1533-position model. The record is from RNAcentral.